Long non-coding RNA from Rhopalosiphum padi (bird cherry-oat aphid), 599 nucleotides. RefSeq lists it as uncharacterized. Lineage: Eukaryota; Metazoa; Arthropoda; Insecta; Hemiptera; Aphididae. The transcript is spliced from 5 exons. The record is from RefSeq and is a predicted model, not a curated record.
AGAUUGCAAUACAGCAGACAAUGAAAGCCAUGGUGAGACAUGAAUUCGCGAUUAUAUCAGUUUGGAAAAUAUAAACAUCCUAUGAUGAAAAUGGACUAGAAGAUACUGAUAAUAAUAAUUGUUUUAUUCAACAUGGCAAUACAGCAGAUGACUCAAGGAAUGCUGAGACAUUUAUUUGUAUGCAUACAACUUUGGGAAAGUAUGAACAUCCAAUGUUGAAAAUGAACUAAAAGAUACUGAUUAUAAAGAAUUUAUGCAAUAUGCAAAUACAGCAGAUCACUCAAGGGAUGCUGAAACAUUGUUUGGUAUUCAAACAACUCUGGAAAAAUUGCAAUACAGCAGACAAUGAAAGCCAUGGUGAGACAUGAAUUCGCGAUUAUAUCAGUUUGGAAAAUAUAAACAUCCUAUGAUGAAAAUGGACUAGAAGAUACUGAUAAUAAUAAUUGUUUUAUUCAACAUGGCAAUACAGCAGAUGACUCAAGGAAUGCUGAGACAUUUAUUUGUAUGCAUACAACUUUGGGAAAGUAUGAACAUCCAAUGUUGAAAAUGAACUAAAAGAUACUGAUUAUAAAGAAUUUAUGCAAUGUACGUGUAAUGGU